Molecule: ribosomal RNA, 268 nt
Filed under: uncultured Entrophospora
Lineage: Eukaryota; Fungi; Glomeromycota; Glomeromycetes; Entrophosporales; Entrophosporaceae
Description: uncultured Claroideoglomus partial 28S ribosomal RNA
Source: RNAcentral
UCAAAACCGCUAUGACUCGUGACCACUUAAUGGUCUGGUGCACUUUUGUGUCGGCUGGUUAACAUCAAUUUCGAUCAUCAUAAAAAGGCUGGAGGGAUGUGGCUCCUUCGGGAGUGUUAUAACCUUUGGCGGAAUGUGGUGUUUGGGAUUGAGGAUUGCAACGAAUACCUUUAGGGCUGUUCCACCUGGCCUCUCGUUGGCAUCCUGGCGGCGACAGCUUGCUGACGUCGUUAGGGUCCGCCUUCGAACAGGCUAGAGUGUGAGCAAA